AUUGAACGCUGGCGGCAUGCUUUACACAUGCAAGUCGGACGAGUGGCGAACGGGUGAGUAACGCAUCGGAACGUACCGAGUAAUGGGGGAUAACUGUCCGCAAGGACAGCUAAUCCCGCAUAUUAUUCGAGCGGCCGAUGUCUUAUUAGCUGGUUGGCGGGGUAAAGGCCCACCACGGCGACGAUCAGUAGAGGGUCUGAGAGGCUGAUCCGCAACACUGGGACUGAGACAAGGCCCAGACUCCUACGUGAGGAAGCAGUGGGGAAUUUUGGACAAUGGGCGCAAGCCUGAUUCAGCCAUGCCGCGUGUCUGAAGAAGGCCUUCGGGUUGUAAAGCACUUUAAGUUGGGAGGCGUUACCAACAGAAUAAGCACCGGCUAACUUCGUGCCAGCAGCCGCGGUAAUUC
RNAcentral lists this ribosomal RNA (406 nucleotides) under uncultured bacterium. RNAcentral describes it as "partial 16S ribosomal RNA". It matches the Rfam family "Bacterial small subunit ribosomal RNA", at positions 30 to 526 of the family's 1533-position model. The record is from RNAcentral.